This 302-nucleotide long non-coding RNA is filed under the name Carica papaya (papaya). RNAcentral's name for it is "long non-coding RNA (CPAP_LNC001839)". The record is from RNAcentral. Lineage: Eukaryota; Viridiplantae; Streptophyta; Magnoliopsida; Brassicales; Caricaceae.
AACUGCGUAAAACAUUUGUGAUGAAUGCACCUGGUUACUCAGUUGGUCACAAGUUUUAAAUGGCUACUAACCCUACUCAUGGUCAUUUGAUUAGAGGAGUAGAUUAUUAUUCAUGUUUUUUUUUCCUUUCAUUGUGAGUGCGUUUUAUGCUCCAUCUCACACUUUUACUCUAACUAUUUUCGAAAGUAAGUACAUUUUAACCUUAAUCUCACACUUUUACUCCAACUAUUUUUGAAAGUAGGUGCGUUUUAUGCUCCAUCUCACUCAUCACAUAAUAGAUAAUUUGAUUUAUUCAUUUAAAG